Molecule: ribosomal RNA, 406 nt
Filed under: uncultured bacterium
Lineage: Bacteria
Description: partial 16S ribosomal RNA
Rfam family: Bacterial small subunit ribosomal RNA
Source: RNAcentral
GACGAACGCUGGCGGCGUGCCUAAUACAUGCAAGUAGAACGCAGUUGCGAACGGGUGAGUAACGCGUAGGUAACUGCCUGGUAGCGGGGGGAACUAAUGGAAAAGAUAACUAAUAACCCCGACUAACCGAAGGACCUGCGUUGUUUUAGCUAGUUGGUGGGGUAAAGGCUGACCAAGGCAACGAUACAUAGCCGACCUGGGAGGGUGAUCGGCCACACUGGGACUGAGACACGGCCCAGACUCCUACGGGAGGCAGCAGUAGGGAAUCUUCGGCAAUGGACGGAAGUCUGACCGAGCAACGCCGCGUGAGUGAAGAAGGUUUUCGGAUCGUAAAGCUCUGUUGUAAGAGAAGCGGUAUCUUACCAGAAAGGGACGGCUAACUACGUGCCAGCAGCCGCGGUAAUAC